Molecule: ribosomal RNA, 207 nt
Filed under: uncultured bacterium
Lineage: Bacteria
Description: partial 16S ribosomal RNA
Rfam family: Bacterial small subunit ribosomal RNA
Source: RNAcentral
AGCGUAGGCGGGAUCGCAAGUCAGAUGUGAAAACUAUGGGCUUAACCCAUAAACUGCAUUUGAAACUGUGGUUCUUAAGUGAAGUAGAGGUAAGCGGAAUUCCUAGUGUAGCGGUGAAAUGCGUAGAUAUUAGGAGGAACAUCAGUGGCGAAGGCGGCUUACUGGGCUUUAACUGACGCUGAGGCUCGAAGGCGUGGGGAGCAAACA